GCCAGUGUGAUGUAGUGGUUUGAGUGCUGGGCUAUUAUUCUGGAGAUCAGGGUUAGAAUCCCUGCUCAGCUA
This is a non-coding RNA of Phrynosoma platyrhinos (Desert horned lizard), 72 nucleotides long. Lineage: Eukaryota; Metazoa; Chordata; Lepidosauria; Squamata; Phrynosomatidae. The record is from the annotation of a GenBank genome assembly.